UAAAGAGAGCAAGUGAGGUGCCAGGAUCACGCGAGAUGGAAUCAGGCCUCGAGAGGACUGUCUUUAAGAACGGGGCUCCCAGCUUUGCCUUUGCCACUUACUAGGGGCGUGACCUUGGGCAAGUUACCUCGCCUAUACGAGCCUCAGCUUUUUCACUUGCCUUUCAUAUUGCCUCCUUGCUUUGCGACUUUUCACCAAACACCUUAGUACCAGCAUGGUCUACACUGGCUUCAAUCAUGGUGUGGCUUGGACUUGUCUAUACUCCCACCAAACAUAUUGACUGUGAGCUCACCGAGGACUCAGUUUUUGUGGUUCACCAUUCCACUGAAUCCUUAGUGAUUGUCUAACACGUAUCCAAGACUUUGUCAGACAUAUUUGCGAUUGGACCAUGAUUCUGUCUCUCAAACUUAACCCCAGACAUUUAUUGAAGUCUCAGAGCCCACUCCAUGCCCUGUUCUCUUCCUCCAUCAUGCUCUUCUACCCUUCUGGCCUCUGUGCCUCUAUAUGCUGUUCCCUCAGUGUAAAUGUUUUUCCCCCUCACCUCUUUCCUUCCCAAGAUAGAUAAGUAGAUAGAUAGAUAGAUAGAUAGAUAGAUAGAUAGAUAGAUAGAUAGUUAGAUGGAUAGACUCACUUUAAACCUGACACCCCCACAAAACCUGGAGCUCCUUACUCAUCUGUGUUUCCCCUGAGCUCUGCACGCGUCUGAUCUGGAUGUGCCCAACAGAUGUUCCUUGAUUGCAGGAUUCUCUCUCUCAGUCUUCGUGUCACCAGCUAAAGCCACUGGGUCUUGUCUCAGAGGAGCCAAUGACAAAAUACACAGGGAAACAUUUGGAGAACCAGCAACCCGCUAUUCAAACAGCAGUGAUGACUAUAUCUGUUGCUAUCUGAACACCACUCGAGGUCUUUGUGUACUUCAACCUUUAUCAGCUCAGGUUUAGGCUCCUCUCUUAAUUAUCUGCAAAGUGAUGGUGAGGAAAACUGUCCCACAGAACUCUCUGCCUUUGCAACAACUCAAAACUUUCCUUUGGAAACUGUUACAAGACUGCACAAUGGUAGCUAAGAAGUCCCUUACAGCUCUGUGGUUCUGGGGCAGCCAAAAGGGAACCAGAUUUUUAAGGAGGCUUUACUAGUAGGAAACCCUGGUCAUUGAGAUGCAGUGACAUUUUAUAUCAGAAAGGACCCAAAGUCUCCCCAAGGGAGUCAUGUUUCUCAUCUUUUAGACAGGGUUGAAGGCCUGAGAUUUCUCUGCUUGGUGAUGUGGAAUGAUAGAAGCAUCCUUUUCAGAUUUCAUUACAUAAUGAUUAGCAGAUUAUAUAAUAGACAUGUGACAAUGAUUAGGCACCUCUACUUCCUCAGAGCCAACAACACGAAAAAUCUACCUACUUCUUUCUAUUUUUUACUUUUUUAUCACAAAAAAAUAAUGCUUGAAUUUCAAUGAUACAGAUGUGUUUAGAACAAAAAAGGAAAGCAACCCUAUGACCCAGCAAUUUGAUUUAUUGGAAUCUACCAGAGAAGCAAGCAUAAGUACACAGACCUGUUGCAUCCUUGUUUGUAUUGCAAAAGCAAAAACCAAAAACAUGCUAAAUGCCCAUCAAUAGGGAAAUGAAGUAUCCAUCCUAAUGAAUACUAUGUAUCACUUAAAAAAGAUCAUGUAAACCUACCUUACUCUGCAGUACAUUUUGUGGAAUGAAAAAAGAAAGACAUCCCCGGAAAUGGAAUACAAGACAUCAACCAAUAUUAUAUAUGUUCUAAAGGGAAAUUUGGAGUCACAGAGUGGACUUUUCCAUAAAUGGUGUUGGAACAACUGGAUAGCCAUCGAGAAAAGCUAAUGUUGGAUCCACCCGUCACACCACAUACAAAAAUUAAUUUGAGACAGAUCAUAGAUCUAAAUAUAAAGGCUAAACCCACAAAACUUCUAAAUGAACAUGUUGGAGACUAUCUUUGGGCAGAUAAGGAUUUUUUUUAGGACACAAAGCCUUAACAAUAAAAGCGGGGGAAAAGAC
Molecule: long non-coding RNA, 2003 nt
Organism: Felis catus (domestic cat)
Lineage: Eukaryota; Metazoa; Chordata; Mammalia; Carnivora; Felidae
Exons: 2
Source: RefSeq, a predicted model, not a curated record